This 75-nucleotide transfer RNA is filed under the name Schleiferiaceae bacterium. RNAcentral's name for it is "tRNA-Pro". It matches the Rfam family "tRNA". From Rfam's summary of the family: Transfer RNA (tRNA) molecules are approximately 80 nucleotides in length. Lineage: Bacteria; Pseudomonadati; Bacteroidota; Flavobacteriia; Flavobacteriales; Schleiferiaceae. The record is from RNAcentral.
CGGGGUAUGGCGUAGUCCGGCUAACGCACCUGCUUUGGGAGCAGGGGAUCGCAGGUUCGAAUCCUGCUACCCCGA